UACGUAGGGUGCGAGCGUUAAUCGGAAUUACUGGGCGUAAAGCGUGCGUAGGCGGUUCGUUAAGUGCGUCGUGAAAGCCCCGGGCUCAACCUGGGAAUGGCGAUGGAAACUGGCGGGCUGGAGUAUGGCAGAGGGGGAUGGAAUUCCGCGUGUAGCAGUGAAAUGCGUAGAUAUGCGGAGGAACACCGAUGGCGAAGGCAAUCCCCUGGGCCUGCACUGACGCUCAUGCACGAAAGCGUGGGGAGCAAACAGG
RNAcentral lists this ribosomal RNA (253 nucleotides) under uncultured bacterium. RNAcentral describes it as "partial 16S ribosomal RNA". It matches the Rfam family "Bacterial small subunit ribosomal RNA", at positions 524 to 776 of the family's 1533-position model. The record is from RNAcentral.